RNAcentral lists this ribosomal RNA (633 nucleotides) under Escherichia coli. RNAcentral describes it as "partial 23S ribosomal RNA". It matches the Rfam family "Bacterial large subunit ribosomal RNA", at positions 1272 to 1890 of the family's 2925-position model. The record is from RNAcentral. Lineage: Bacteria; Pseudomonadati; Pseudomonadota; Gammaproteobacteria; Enterobacterales; Enterobacteriaceae.
GCUGGAGGUAUCAGAAGUGCGAAUGCUGACAUAAGUAACGAUAAAGCGGGUGAAAAGCCCGCUCGCCGGAAGACCAAGGGUUCCUGUCCAACGUUAAUCGGGGCAGGGUGAGUCGACCCCUAAGGCGAGGCCGAAAGGCGUAGUCGAUGGGAAACAGGUUAAUAUUCCUGUACUUGGUGUUACUGCGAAGGGGGGACGGAGAAGGCUAUGUUGGCCGGGCGACGGUUGUCCCGGUUUAAGCGUGUAGGCUGGUUUUCCAGGCAAAUCCGGAAAAUCAAGGCUGAGGCGUGAUGACGAGGCACUACGGUGCUGAAGCAACAAAUGCCCUGCUUCCAGGAAAAGCCUCUAAGCAUCAGGUAACAUCAAAUCGUACCCCAAACCGACACAGGUGGUCAGGUAGAGAAUACCAAGGCGCUUGAGAGAACUCGGGUGAAGGAACUAGGCAAAAUGGUGCCGUAACUUCGGGAGAAGGCACGCUGAUAUGUAGGUGAAGUCCCUCGCGGAUGGAGCUGAAAUCAGUCGAAGAUACCAGCUGGCUGCAACUGUUUAUUAAAAACACAGCACUGUGCAAACACGAAAGUGGACGUAUACGGUGUGACGCCUGCCCGGUGCCGGAAGGUUAAUUGAUGGGGU